AGAGGUGAGAAUAGAAGUGCGUUG
Molecule: non-coding RNA, 24 nt
Filed under: Arabidopsis thaliana (thale cress)
Lineage: Eukaryota; Viridiplantae; Streptophyta; Magnoliopsida; Brassicales; Brassicaceae
Source: RNAcentral